This 72-nucleotide transfer RNA is filed under the name Camponotus floridanus (Florida carpenter ant). Its description in RNAcentral is "tRNA-Val". It matches the Rfam family "tRNA". Rfam says of the family: Transfer RNA (tRNA) molecules are approximately 80 nucleotides in length. Lineage: Eukaryota; Metazoa; Arthropoda; Insecta; Hymenoptera; Formicidae. The record is from RNAcentral.
GGCUGAAUAGCUCAGUGGUAAGAGCAGUCGCCCGACAAGCGAAAGACUCGGGUUCGAUUCCCGAUUCAGCGA